GGAUGUAGCUCAGUGGUAGAGCACUCGCCUAGUAUGCAUGAACUCUCCUGGGUUCAAUCCCCGGUAGCACA
This 71-nucleotide transfer RNA is filed under the name Marmota monax (woodchuck). Its description in RNAcentral is "tRNA.Thr". Lineage: Eukaryota; Metazoa; Chordata; Mammalia; Rodentia; Sciuridae. The record is from RNAcentral.